UCACUCUGCCUGCGCUGUCAAAACAUUCCAUUCGUGUUGGUGGAACCGCGUACGACGGGAGCUGCGUUUAAUUGUUUUGAACGCUCGUUUGUGUGUUUGUGCGCCUCGUGUUCGAUUGUUUGUGCGCGGUUGUGUGUGCCUGUUUGUAUGUGUGUGCAGUGUACGUGUGCACCUCAUCCCGGUGUAGUGUGUUUUGGAGCAAAUGCGAUGCACCUCUUCCUUAGCACGCCAGAAAAGUGUCGCGGAAAAAGCAAUACCACACCAAAAGUGUGCAAAAUGUGAAAAUUGAAAACAAGGUGGUGAAAUCUGAGUGGCAGCAGUAGUGUUGACAAGCCAGAUCGGGGAGAAGAAACUCCCGCCAAAGGAAAACGAAAAGAAAAGUGAAAAGUGUAGAAAAGUGAAACCAAUAUGCUGCUGCUCCCAAAUAUUUCAACGUCAACCAAUCGUACCCAAAACACGAGCCUGCUGGUGGUGUGGUGAAGUAGUCAGCACAGGGUGGCCGAAAAUUGUGGAGUAGUGUAAGAAAAAAUAAGAGUAAGAAGAAGAAAGGAAAUCAUCUCAAUCGGGAGAAAAGUCGUUAAGAUUUGCUUGACACCGACCAGCCACCAAAUGGAGGAGAAAUAGCAGCAGUAGCAGCAGUAGGAUCGUUUGCGAUUGCAGCAGCUGUCGAUCGCGCCAGGUACGAAGUGAGUGCGAGGUGCUCCGUUUGAAGGGUGAAAUGUGUGUGUGAGUGGUUCAAAUGUGUAAUCCCCCAAAACAACAAAUACAGAAAGGAGAAAAGAGAGAAAAAAAAGCAGUUUGGUUACGGCAGACGCGCAUCUAACCUUGGCCAGCCCAGCCACCAGCGCCAGAGUGCUUUUGGGGCGAGUGUGUGUGUGAGUGAGUCAGUUAAGUGUGUAAAUAAAGGUCCGGGUUUCGAUGAUCGCGACUCGAAAGUAGUGAAAUCGGAAGAAAGAAAGUGAAGUGACGCAGCGACUGCAGCGACGUUUUCAGUUUGUGUCCCCCAUGGUUUGUGUGUGCGUAUGUACAUGUGUGUCUGUUUGUGAAAUAUAUUUCUUUAAAGUGUGGAAGUAAAUGUUUCCUUAGUGUUAGAGAUACAUGCAAAUGGUAGCAGUGGAUGUGUACUACGUGUAAGAAAGCAGUAAAAUACGGAAACGAGUGAUUACAGUGCUAAAACAUACGAAAGCAAAUCGAGCUAGAGUGUGCAACAUAGAGUAAGAAAACAGAUAACCAUCGUGUUGUGUUCGCUUGGUAGCUGAAGUAGCAGUAGCAGCAGCAGUAAACCACCAACUCAAAAAGCAAUUCUUCAAGACUAUGUUUUAGCUGAAUAGUAUUUCCCAUAUUUCUCGCUGAGUACAUCGGUCACCGCUAACCAGAACACACCACUGCAGGUAUGCAGCAGACAAUCUUUGUUGGCUUCAGUUGUAAACGUUUCGAGAAUGAAAUUAAAAACGCAGACAAUCUUCACGUCAUCACAUAAUAUUUCGUGAAUCUCAGCGAAUCUUCCUCCACACGACGGUGUCAUGUCCCGCGUAACGAUGAUCCCGAAGAGAUGUGCCGCAAAUAUAAACGCCUAUCGAAGCAGCACGUUGGUCAGCUUGCGGCUUGACCGUGUCCUCAAUCCGGGCUGCAUAUGAACGUCUCUAGCGUUAUGAGACAACUUCUGUAGCGCAACAGGGGGUACAGAACAACGGUCAAACCAGUAAAGGCCGAUAGUCUUAACGACGUGCAAUAGAAGAAAAGAGGAGAAACUUUAGCCCGUAGCUUCCAGAAUCAUUGUAAUACUAUUUAAUACACAAUCAAGCUCCAGACUCCUCGCGAGAAAGUUUUGGGGAAAAACUGUACAGAGUAGAAAGGAAUGAAUCUCCGCCAAUUCUGUUACGAAUAAAGACACUAACCGCAAAGAGUGCUUGUGCGAAAGUGUCCAGAAAACUCUAAGAAUCUCUGCAAUCGAAUAGAGAUCGUUCGGCUCGAUCGGAAGCAAACGACAUCGAAUCUCAACCGCUUCGUUGAGCGACAUCCAGCAAAACGCUUUUAAAACAGUCCUUUCUUCUUCCUUACCCCUUCCCGGUUGGUCAUGUACCGUGUAAACAUUGUCAGCACAAAUCCGAGUGUGUCAGCGAGCAGCAGCAGUGGAACGAGUGGAACGAGUGGAACGAGUGCGGGCAGCGUGAUCCUUCAGCAAGCGCCGCAAAUCCUCAGCAUCGCCGGCGGCAGCACGACGAUCCUGGCUGGACAAUCGGGAACGACGACGGCCCUGCCCAUCGGCACGAUAGUCAGCAUCCAGCAGCCGCACCAGCCCCAGCAGCAGCAGCAGCAGCAGACGGCCCGGCAACAGACGGCCACUACACCCGCGACCGCGACGAUCAUCGGCUUGAGUGCCAGUACGCUCAGUGCACUGAAUGCGGCAACGGCGGUCGGUACGGGUGGUGGGGCCACGAUAGCGAGCGGUGGUGCGACGAUCACACCCGUGAUAGGUAGCGGUGGUGCCGGUGGAGCGACAGUCGUCGCCAACCAGCUGCUAAAGGUGGCCGGCGGCAACAACAACAGCAUCAGCAUCCUGAAGAUCGGUGAUGACAUCAUGCUGAAGGCGGUGAAAGUAGAACCCCUGCCCAGUGAUACGGGCGGUGGAGGGGGUGGUGGUGGCGGCGGCGGCGGAGGAGGAGUAGUGGCAACCCCCACCGGAAGUAGUACGAGUGUCACUGCCAACACCGUUACCGUGACGACCAUUCCUCCCGCGAAUGGUGGCGGACAUGUUGUCUUUGGUGGCAAGCGGAGGCACGAAAGCAACGAAGAAUGGAUAUCCUCACCUAGUCCUGGAAGUGUGCAAGGAUCGGCCCCGCCACUGAGCCCCUCGCCCGGCUCGCAAAGUCACACCUACACCAACACGAUGUCGAACGGCUACUCGUCACCGUUGUCCAGCGGCAGCUACGAUCCGUACAGUCCAAAUGGCAAAAUGGGUAAGCGUACAACUGUUUUCUACAUUUUCUUCACGAUGCGCUUGGUAUGUUGUAAAAGUUGUAAAUGUUUUCUAUGUUUUACAUUAUAUUCUGUCAAUUCUUAAUAUUCAAAAGUGAAAUUUAUUCUUUCUCUAUUUAUUUCAAACUGUCAACAUAAAACUCGAAUUUUCUUAGAACUCUUCUUGUUGAACUUUGAAGUACGCUUAUGCUUGAUGCGCUUAUGAAGAGCAUCGUUAAGGUUAUGGAUGAAAUACAUUCCAUCUACUCCAUCUUCCGGCUCACCCCUAUCAUCGCUUCGGGGUGGAAAUGGUUUUCCAUUUUCCUGUCACAAAACUCCCCUUUUGGCUGAUCCAAUUCACCACAUUCCGCACACACAUACACGUAUAGAAAAAAGAGAGCAAAAAAAAGAACUAGAAAAUACACCAUCUCCCCCCGGUUUUCUCUCCUUGUCAUUGCAUCAAAUGUCAUUCCUUCGCAAUCCAGUGCACUCCUCGGCGCAUCACGUUUCCCGGGUUGGCACAGUUCAUUGGAGUUUAUUUCCUCCCUUGUUCUCCACCAGACACCAUCACACACACACACGCACACACAAACGUUCCCGGGGUCUGCUGCCCUGCUGCUGGCCCGUCGUCUGUGGGUUAGUUUUCAACUAGUUUUUCCCUUUGUUCGCCACCACCAGCUCGCCGCGUCGCCGUCCCAUCACGUGCCACAACAUGCACAGGGCGCUGGGGCCGCGCGGUCGCUGCAAUGACGUUGGAUGCAUUUCCCUCCCUCCCCCCCCUCCCUGUGCGUUUCCGUUCGUGAAUGGGGUUUUAUGUGGACCUGGUGGUGGAGCGGUUGUGAACGUUUCUGUCGCUUUUUUCUCUUGCUGCUGCUGCUCUAUGUAUACCUUCCACUAUGCUCUUCACCAUGACACUGGCAUACAUAGCGUGUCGGCGUGUCGGCGGCUGCAUAGAGCUGUGUUUGUGUGUAGGUCAGUGGUAGCUUCAACGUUUGCCGGCGCCCUGCUGCUGCUGCUGCACUUCGGAGCACUUUUUCUCGACUCUCUAACCCUUUAUUUUUUCGCCGUACGCCGGCACACGGGGAGGACACGGGGAAGGCGGUUACGACAUCGGGGCGAUAUCGGGGCUAAGCUGGAAAGGAAGGAAAGUUUUCUACGGCCGCACAGCGGUGGGUUUCUUGGGUGUGAAUUUUCGUCCUCCGUUGUGCAGCGUCUAAAAAUGCAUGUCAAACGCAUUGUAAGAGAAAAAGGAAAUUAUGAGAUGUUAGACUUAAUAUUUGUAUUUUUUUUAUAUCAUAGAAGUUUAUAUUAUGAUUUAUAUAAAAGGAAGAAACCCCAAUUGAAAAUACUUAAAUCCAAAAUACCAUUAAAUCAAAAUUGUAAAACAGCAACAUUAUCGCCACAGUUGCUUAGAAAUUAUGCGCUUUUAUGUGUGUUGCAACGAGAGGAACAAGAAAACGGAAAACGGCUCGUGAGUGAAAGGGAGAGCGUCGUCGAGCACAAAAAAAACCUCGCUGCAUUUGUGUGCGUGCGACGGUCACUCACAGAGCGUGAGAUGAAAGUGAGUUUAGAGCGUGAGGUGAGAAAGUGAGUCUCGCAUGAGACGACUCGGCAAGUACGGCUGUAUAGGUGGAAAUAGUAAAUGCUGCACACUGGGUUGAAUGGAUUGGACAAAAUGUUGUAAUGAAAUUUGUUGAAUUUUGAAGCUGAAGCUGCUUUAUAUGUUUGAAUAAGUUUAUUUGGUUUUUGAUGAUAACAUAGUUCAUCCAAAUCGAAGCAUUAUUUUGGGUACUUGAUAAACUGAUUCAUCUCUUCACUUACGCUGCCUACUUAAUCUGUUUCAUAUUAAACAAAAACAAUUAAAAAGACAAAUAUAAAAACGCUUCAAUAAAAUCAAACUUAAUUUUCAAAUGGCUUUUUGGUCAAAUAUGGUAAACUGCACCGUGCUCACUGUGCGCCGCGCGCACUCACGUACACGCACACACCGCCGAACCGCCUGGGUGAGUUGCUUCGAGUGAGCGGCUCUCACCGUGUGCGGCUUUUGGGCAGCGAUGUACCGACCGGCGGCCUCGAACGGUGCUAGUGCACGACCAGUCACUCAGUACCCUUCUGUACCUCGGUGAAUAGCGUUCGAAACGUACGUACGUACGUGUGCUGCAGCGCGCCCGUGAACGGCAAGCUUUCUGUUCGAGCUGUUCGUCGAGACGCGCACACACAACACAACCGCACGCGCGGCGCUCUUAUACACGGAAACAACAAACCGCCGGGGCCCGGCGUUGUUUUUCGACGCAGAAAACGGCAGGGCCGCGUGUGUCGUGCGACGCCUCUUUGCCUUCCAAAUCGAGCGAGCCCCGCAGAGUGCGUGUUUUUUUUGUAAAAUAUUAGUGACCCGAUAGAAAGAAGGUGUGUUAGUUAAAAUUGUGUGCUGCAGGAUUAUGAUCAGUUUGAUUCCGCACGGCAUCGGGUGAAGUGUUGGGAGUUGAAUUCAGCAAAAAAAAAACAAAAGUGAAAAUAGAAACAAAGUUUCUAGAAAAGUAGAUUAACAAAAACAAACUUCCAGUGCUGUAAAGUUUAAACGGGAAGAAACCCAAAACGCGCAACAAACGAUCCUGUAUGCGGUUGUGAAUAUCGGGAGUGCGUGUCCCGUUCCGUGCAACAUCAGCGUGUCCGGAAGGGACAGCAUGAAACAGUUCGGGAAGUGCAGUUAUUAUUCAGCAUCAUCAGCAGCAGCAGUAGUUGUACAGCCAACCAAUCAGAAUCAUACGGUACAGCUGCCUCCAGGUGGUCCGGAACGCCAGCACGGUGCAAUCUGUGACGCCGUCCGUUUCGUGCGGUGAUCCAACGCUUCCCAGAGCAGCUCCAGAGAACAUGGCCAUCGCCUGCUGUGUCGACCGAAGUUAAGUGAUUCGUGGCAAACGUGCGUGUAUGUGUGUGUAAAUUAUUUUCCUACUGCGUAGUAGGCUCUGGGAUCUAUUUCAGCAGUAGUGGAGCCAAACGAGCGAAGAGUCUAUUAAACAAAGUGAAAAUACAUCUCUGGAAUAAAAAGGCUUGGAAGAGUGUGAAAUAUAAUCAGAAGUAGUGAUAUCCAAGGAGAUUCUUGUAAUAUAAAGUGAAGUGUCGGGAGAGAGCAUUCUGAAGACAAGUGUACAAGUGAAGACAACGACCUGGUUCGACUGUUUGGCCUUUGCAUUGCAGCGGGAGGGUUUCUGGGCGGCAUCUUU
This is an RNA transcript of Anopheles gambiae (African malaria mosquito), 6179 nucleotides long. It is a transcript of the gene named ecdysone receptor, with no coding region annotated. NCBI's taxonomy places the organism in Eukaryota, Metazoa, Arthropoda, Insecta, Diptera, Culicidae. The record is from RefSeq and is marked validated. The transcript is spliced from 8 exons.